Long non-coding RNA from Camelina sativa (false flax), 1161 nucleotides. RefSeq lists it as uncharacterized. Lineage: Eukaryota; Viridiplantae; Streptophyta; Magnoliopsida; Brassicales; Brassicaceae. The record is from RefSeq and is a predicted model, not a curated record.
UCUGGGCCGUAUUAUACAGCUUUUAUUUCUUAUGGGUCUGAAUUAAAAGAAAAAAAAGAGAAAUGAAAUGAAAAAAAAAGGGUUCUCUUCUCCUCUGGAAAUCGAUUCCUCUAUCGUCAGAUUCCAACGGUAAUAGCUCAAAAUGACAUAAAUUUUGUAAUCCUAGAUUAGGACCAAAGAGAUUCCCAUAUUGAGCCCAUGCUACUUGCUCGAUCUUCACUCACCUUCUCCGUCCUCCACUCCUCCUCCACCUCUUCCACUACUCCUCACCAUUUCAAAUCCGCCACCACACUUACCGACGAUGUAUUUAAAAUCUCCUUUUUUGCCGCGGAUCUGUUCCGUUUUGUCAAUGAAACCUACCUCUCCUCUGAUCCACCGCUUUGUCUUCUCCUCCUCUCGCUAGUGUAUAAUGUUCAGAGGUCUCGAGAUCUUCAAUUUCGGAAAGCUAGAAAUGCUUUUGAGAAGCCAAUUAGUUCCUAAGAAACUAUCCUUCAAAAUAGAAACUCAAUUAAUGAUGGUUUCUUCGAAUUGUCUCUUGUCAGCUGUAUUUGUAAUUACCCAUCUUGUUUCGUCCAUACUCUUAUUUUAUUCGUUCAUCCAUCACGUUAGCUAUUGCGUCUGAAGCAAAUCUGAGAAUAUACCAAACCCUCCACCCUACCCCUGUAUAUUGCUUCCACGGCAGAGGACCUUCUAUUUUCUCCAGUGCUGUUAUGGAAAAUUGAAGUAACCUCAGAUUUGGUUUGUGAACCUAAACAGACUAAAAGCAGAAAGAUAAGUGCUCGAUCUUUGCUGGUGUUAGGUAGUGAUACGUAUGAGACUCUACAUCCUCCUAUCCUCUAUCAGUACUGAAGGAAGAUGAAGAAAGGCCCAAGUGGCUAAGAGUCCAUCAAGUGGAUCCCGUAGCUCCAAGAAGUAGUAGUGGGCCUUGGAGAGAGAGAUUAUCUAAAGUAAAGAAUAAGAGUCACUAUCCUUCUGCAGAGGACUGUAACGGAUGUUUUGUGGGGACAAAGGUCUCAAGAGUAGUACUUAUGUAGUAGGUUGGGGAAGGAUUGUUUUUAUCUAUCUUUUGGGUGAAACAUUGUAAGGGGGAGGGGAGAGACUCCAUUAAACAUUUCUCUUGGUUGUUACCGUUGUCUUUUAUCAAAGAGUACUUUCUUAUUA